This 1145-nucleotide ribosomal RNA is filed under the name Triticum aestivum (bread wheat). RNAcentral's name for it is "partial small subunit ribosomal RNA". Lineage: Eukaryota; Viridiplantae; Streptophyta; Magnoliopsida; Poales; Poaceae. The record is from RNAcentral.
UCACACCCCAUCAGCGACAAGUGCUGCCCCCACCCCCGCCCCCUCACAUCUCACUAGCAACAAGUGCUGCAAACCAACACCCACCGGUGCUGCCGAUGGCGGCGGCAAGUGAUGGAGACGCGCAGCGGCCGACGUUGGGGCGUUGCAACCACGGCGACAAGUGAUGGAGAUCCAGCCUUUUGUUUUUGGAAGCAGGCCCAUUUUUUCUGCUAACACCUUCGUUUUUUGCUGGAACAGUCUUUUUUUUCUACCAUGUGUUUUGCUUUUUGUUGGAACCAACUUCAAGCCGGCAUGGGGAAAAAGCUUCCACCCUAGGGAGAAAAAGCUUCAACCGGCUGGAUGAAAAGCUUCAGGUGCCAUGAGAAAAAGCUUCCAUCGUAGGAAAACAGCUUCAUUGGUGGAAAAAGCUUCAGCCGGUGAUUUAAUUUGCUGGAACUCAUUGAUGUAUUUGCUGGAACCAAUUUUCUUCAUGAGCGAUGGCGAGCCGGUGAGCGGCGGCCACAGAGCUUGAAGCGGGAGGCCAUGGAAGGGCGACGAGGAAGCAGGAGGGCUCGGGAAAACUGUCGAAAGGAAGGAGACAAGCAGGCGGGAGGAGAGGAGAUAGAAUCGUGUGGUCUGGAACACACGCAUCAUGCGGCUGGGGGGCGACCGGCCCAAAGUUUGGGCCGGCGCACCGGCGCCUAUCGCUCCCCUUUCACAUUUCAUUGUUGGCUUUUCCAACAAAAAGUAAUUUCACAUUGCAAAAACCCAGAAAACACCAUCUUCAGCACACAAUUGAACUCCCCAUGAGGCAGAAACCUAAAAGCUAAUAAAAAAACUUUCAAAAUAAGGAUUGUACAUGGUAUCUGUUGUACAUACCUACUGUAGAUGCCGCAGAUGUAGUACCCGUACAGCUAACCGGACUCCUGGGAAUGAAGGCUGCAGUCGUGGAAACCAGCGUGUUCGCCAUGUCCGGCCGGAACAAGCUACGCGGCUGCGCCCAGCGCCACACAUCUCAUGCAGCAGCAGCAGCACUCGAUGCAAAAUCCCGGAGACGGCGUUGUACCAGGCGGCGGCCCAGUGUGCGUAUCCAAAAACCACAAACGAUGAGAUCCUUGAGACAGCGCCAAAUACACGGGCAGUCAUAGAACUUGCAUGCGACGGUC